UGGGGUGUGGUGAAGUGGUAUCACGGCAGAUUCUGGUUCUGCUUUCAGGGGUUCGAAUCCUCUCACCCCAGCCA
This 74-nucleotide transfer RNA is filed under the name bacterium BMS3Abin10. Its description in RNAcentral is "tRNA-Gln". It matches the Rfam family "tRNA". From Rfam's summary of the family: Transfer RNA (tRNA) molecules are approximately 80 nucleotides in length. RNAcentral also lists the same sequence under 4 other names. The record is from RNAcentral.